UACGUAGGGUGCAAGCGUUGUCCGGAAUUAUUGGCGUAAAGAGCUCGUAGGCGGUUUGUCGCGUCGAAUGUGAAACCCGGGGCUCAACCCCGGGCCUGCAUUCGAUACGGGCAGACUAGAGUUCGGUAGGGGAGUCUGGAAUUCCUGGUGUAGCGGUGAAAUGCGCAGAUAUCAGGAGGAACACCGAUGGCGAAGGCAGGAUCUCUGGG
This 209-nucleotide ribosomal RNA is filed under the name uncultured bacterium. Its description in RNAcentral is "partial 16S ribosomal RNA". It matches the Rfam family "Bacterial small subunit ribosomal RNA", at positions 524 to 733 of the family's 1533-position model. The record is from RNAcentral.